UUGGUAAGUCAGAUGUGAAAGGCUGCGGCUUAACCGUAGAUGUGCAUUUGAUACUGCUGAUCUUGAGUGCGAGAGAGGGUAGUGGAAUUCCCAGUGUAGCGGUGAAAUGCGUAGAUAUUGGGAAGAACACCAGUAGCGAAGGCGGCUACCUGGCUCGUAACUGACGCUAAGGCGCGAAAGCGUGGGGAUCAAACAGGAUUAGAUACCCUGGUAGUCCACGCUGUAAACGAUGGGCACUAGGUGUUGGUCUCAUUAUUGGGACCAGUGCCGCAGCAAACGCAAUAAGUGCCCCGCCUGGGGAGUACGAUCGCAAGGUUGAAACUCAAAGGAAUUGACGGGGGCCCGCACAAGCGGUGGAGCAUGUGGUUUAAUUCGAUGCAACGCGCAGAACCUUACCGGGGUUUGACAUCCCGCUAACCGCCACAGAGAUGUGGUUUGGUAGCAAUACCUGGCGGGACAGGUGCUGCAUGGCUGUCGUCAGCUCGUGUCGUGAGAUGUUGGGUUAAGUCCCGCAACGAGCGCAACCCUUGCCUCUAGUUACCAUCAAGUAAAGUUGGGGACUCUAGAGGGACUGCCGGUGACAAACUGGAGGAAGGUGGGGAUGACGUCAAGUCCUCAUGGCCCUUACAUCCCGGGCUACACACGUGCUACAAUGGCCGGUACAACGAGUCGCGAAACUGUGAGGUGGAGCCAAUCUCUAAAAACCGGUCUCAGUUCGGAUUGCAGUCUGCAACUCGACUGCAUGAAGUCGGA
RNAcentral lists this ribosomal RNA (753 nucleotides) under uncultured bacterium. RNAcentral describes it as "bacterial SSU rRNA". It matches the Rfam family "Bacterial small subunit ribosomal RNA", at positions 580 to 1330 of the family's 1533-position model. The record is from RNAcentral.